UGAGGUUCCCACAUCUUCAAUCAGACAAAACAUAUUAGUAUAUCUUCUUCCUUCGGGGCUCCAUCCUGUUUAAUAUAAACUCAUCAGAUCUGUAUUGAUCAUCGCAAAAGCUUUAAUCAUGAAAUUAAAGGAUCGGAGAAAGUUUCAUUCCUGAAACGCAGACUCAAUCACUCGCUAUGUUCUCCUGAUCAUCUCGCUUGGCUCUGCACUUUAUCUGAGGGUUUAAGGACCUAUAUUCAUCCUAUUCGAUGGCUGAUAGCCGGAAUGGUAAUGUCAAG
This is a non-coding RNA of Nicotiana tabacum (common tobacco), 278 nucleotides long. The record is from RefSeq and is a predicted model, not a curated record. Lineage: Eukaryota; Viridiplantae; Streptophyta; Magnoliopsida; Solanales; Solanaceae.